UGGUGGGAAUUUCUACUUAUUCCUUCAAUCGAAGCGUAUUUAUUGGGUACCCUUUGAGUGCCAGCCUCUUCCUCAGGGCUAGGAUAGAGGUUCCAUUUUCUUAGUGGCUUGGGCACCGGGUCAGCAGCUGAGUGAGAAGAUGGACGAGAUGGAUUGCAGCCAUUUAUUGAAAUUAAAGACAUUUUUUAAUCUUCUUGAGAUUCCAUAUCAGGCUGUCUACAAAGGCCACUGGGAGGCAGAGGAUCAUUUGAACGCAGGAGUUUGAGCUGUGGUGAGCUGCAAAGGGCUCACUACAGCCUGGGUGAGGAAAGACCCUUUCAAGGGCCAAACUGCAUGCUUGCUUGCUGUGGUCAUUAAACUCUAGUUUUUAGGUUAGCAGGUCUGCCUGUCAGAAGAUGAAAAAUUCCAUUUAAAACAGAUAUGCCUGCAUUUCUUCAAGCAUGAAUUCCAAGUCCUUUGCUUCUUUAAAACUUGCUCCACAAAUUGCUCCACACGGUGUAGUCAAGCUGACUCUCCAUACCUUUAAAAGGUCUCCAACAUCUGCACCUGAAAAAGUUUCACACCAUUUCCCAAGCAAGCCAUCCAUGGAUAAAAACGUUACCAGCAGAACCCAUAAAGCUGGUCCAGGCAAGUUGGACUCCACCAUUUCAACUUCCAGCUUUCUGUGUAAUGCCUGUGUGCCAACAGCUUGAGUUAGGCUUGCUCUUUAGGACUUCAGCAGCUAUUCUCAUCCUUCCUUUGGGACACAACUAUCCAUAAGGUGCUACUGAGAGCCACAUCGCAUCCGCACCUAGCUCCAUACCCGAUAAAACUGGCCUCCUACCUCGAAAAGCGCAAUUUUUUAAUUUUACUUUAUGUGUGUGCUUUCUGAUGAGGGCGAGUUGGCUGCAUUUGAGCUGAUAGGAAGGCCAGAAGAGAGCUCAGCUCGCUCAGGCCCAGAAGGAGGUAUAGGUUAGUAGGCUGAGGUCCCUGAGGGCUGAGGAGGUGGGAGGAUGCAGUGCUGCACCUGAGGGACCUUCUGAGCUGGUGAGGACAGGAGGCAAGAGGGAGGGGCUAGGGGGACACUUGAAUUGGCUCUGAUCCCCCCCAAAGGGAGUUGGAAAGUCAACGGAAGGGAGGGCUGCAGUCCCUUGGUGCUUCCUCCCUGGGAAGGAGCAAGUAUGAACACUCUCACUGAUGGACUAUGCAGGGAGGGGAGAGCCUGGCUCAGGGUGAGUCCAGGCAGGGCCAGUUCAAAGCAGGCUGUCCACAUACCUACCACAUGCCCUUGGUGAUUUCUCUUCUCUCCGAAACUCCUUGUCUUGUAGUUAGCAGGAAGUGGCACUUUGAGUAAGCGUCCUUUUCCUCUCCCAUCUGCCGCCUUUGUCUUCCCUCUGGACAGCUCCUGGGGUGCAGGCGCUGACAGCUGCACGGAGUUGGCCACAGGACUGGGGGAGCCCCCUUCCAUUCCAGGAUCUUGCGCUGUUGCCCAAGCUGGUGUGCAGUGAUGAAUCAGUCUCCUGGGCUCAAACCAUCCUCCCACCUCAGCCUCCCGAGUAGCUGUGACUAUAAGCACAUGCUAAUUUUUA
Molecule: non-coding RNA, 1568 nt
Organism: Callithrix jacchus (white-tufted-ear marmoset)
Lineage: Eukaryota; Metazoa; Chordata; Mammalia; Primates; Cebidae
Source: RefSeq, a predicted model, not a curated record